This 297-nucleotide unclassified non-coding RNA is filed under the name Billbergia elegans. RNAcentral's name for it is "partial 26S-18S rRNA external transcribed spacer". The record is from RNAcentral. Lineage: Eukaryota; Viridiplantae; Streptophyta; Magnoliopsida; Poales; Bromeliaceae.
CCCAGUGUGCCAAUUCGCCUCACCACCUCGAGCGGGAGGCACAACCACAAUGUGGUCGUCACGCGCACCUUAACGACACAACCCUUGGGCCCCGUGCUAGCUGGGCUCCAGAAGUAUCACAAGCUCUUGCGAAUGCAGCAGGCUUGGGGGACUUCGGCCCUCGGCCUAGACCUUGGUAGGUCAUUAAGCCACCCUCGUUGAGACAACGGUCGAUCCACCGAUAGGCCCCCUCCACUCCCUGCGGGCAGUCGGGCGCCUUGACAGCAUCGACAUCGCAAAGGACAUGCUACCUGGUUG